CCCGCGGCGAGGAGCCAGCGAGAGCGCUCGGCGCUGGGCUGUUUCCCGGCCGAGGGAGGCGAACUUUUCAUGGGGAAGAAGUGGAGGGAUGCGGCGGAAAUGGAGCGGGGCUGCUCCGACCGCGAGGACAGCGCGGAGAGCCGCAGACGCAGCCGGAGCGCCAGCCGGGGCAGGUUUGCCGAGUCGUGGAAAAGGUUAAGUUCCAAGCAGGGGUCCACCAAGCGCUCGGGACUCCCGUCGCAGCAGACGCCGGCUCAGAAAUCCUGGAUAGAAAGAGCAUUUUAUAAAAGAGAAUGUGUCCACAUCAUACCCAGCACCAAAGACCCCCAUAGGUGUUGCUGUGGGCGUCUGAUAGGCCAGCAUGUUGGCCUCACCCCCAGUAUCUCUGUGCUUCAGAAUGAGAAAAAUGAAAGUCGCCUCUCCCGAAAUGACAUCCAGUCCGAAAAGUGGUCCAUCAGCAAACACACUCAACUCAGCCCUACGGAUGCUUUUGGGACCAUUGAGUUCCAAGGAGGCGGCCAUUCCAACAAAGCCAUGUAUGUGCGAGUAUCUUUUGAUACAAAACCUGAUCUCCUCUUACACCUGAUGACCAAGGAAUGGCAGUUGGAGCUUCCCAAGCUUCUCAUCUCUGUCCAUGGGGGCCUGCAGAACUUUGAACUCCAGCCAAAACUCAAGCAAGUCUUUGGGAAAGGGCUCAUCAAAGCAGCUAUGACAACUGGAGCGUGGAUAUUCACUGGAGGGGUUAACACAGGUGUUAUUCGUCAUGUUGGAGACGCCUUGAAGGAUCAUGCAUCUAAGUCUCGAGGAAAGAUAUGCACCAUAGGUAUUGCCCCCUGGGGAAUUGUGGAAAAUCAGGAGGACCUCAUUGGAAGAGAUGUUGUCCGGCCAUACCAGACCAUGUCCAAUCCCAUGAGCAAGCUCACUGUUCUCAACAGCAUGCAUUCCCACUUCAUUCUGGCUGACAAUGGUACCACUGGAAAAUAUGGAGCAGAGGUGAAACUUCGGAGACAACUGGAAAAGCAUAUUUCACUCCAGAAGAUAAACACAAGUAAGUAGCGGUUGUUCCCACUGGCAUGGCUUGUAGGAAGUGUGCUGAAAGUGAAUAACUUUAAGUAUACCAUGCAGCAAUGUAAUAAAAACUUGAGCAAGUUUUAAACAUGAACCAUUAUUUCUACUGGGCCAGAGCUUAGAAUGAGAGGAAGCCAUCCAGAGGAGAACAAUUGGAGGUGUAAGAAGUAAUUACACAAUUAGUGACUCCAGCUUAUGUAUCAUGUGUGAAAAAUUCAACUCCAUCUGGGGUAUGUGUAUGCAGAUAAGCUUUCUCUUCAGACUUUUCCUUCAUCAUCUGCAUGGUACUCUAAGGAGAAAAGUUUCUAUUUAUUAAGCUUUUUUGGUGGCUAAACAGAAAAGCAAAAGAAUCAGAUUUUGAUCUUAGCACCGAUCUGGCUGUGCAAAGGCAUUUCAAAGAAAUUGAACAUUCACUCUCUAAGCUAAAGCAUCAUGUGAAAAUGUUUCUAUUUAUUAAGCUUUUUUUGGUGGCUAAACAGAAAUGUUUCUAUUUAUUAAGAGAAAAUGUUUCUAUUUAUUAAGCUUUUUUAGUGGCUAAACAGAAAAGCAAAAGAAUCAGAUUUUGAUCUUAGCACCGAUCUAGCUGUGCAAAGGCAUUUCAAAGAAAUUGAACAUUCACUGUCUAAGCUAAAGCAUCAUGUGAAACUAUCUUCGUGAAAUUUUAAUUGUCUGAAUUUUAAGUAUGGAUUCAUUGUCUCUAGAUACAUAUGGAUUUAGAUAUAGAUAGAUGUAUAUGUGAACCUCAUAGUACACAGUUACACUAAUAUUAUCUCUUAAGCGCAUAAGAAUCUCUAUUUGCUGUAUUUAUUAUGUAAACAUUUGUUUUAACUGUGAAAGGUAGCAUCAUCAAAACAGCAAUGCUCCCCAGAUCACUAAGUGGCUUGCAUUUAAAUGCAAUUUAGCUAUGAAAGCAAUCUAUUGUCCCGCCUCACAAAAUAAAAUUCUAUUUGUUUUUAUAAAGUAACAGGUGAGGAUGCAUGGCAAGCUCAAACUUUGUGGUAAUUAGAUGUCCCAUCAGGGAAACUUUGAUCUAAUUGAUUGAAAUUCCAAAGUCUACAAUUCCAAAGAACAAAAGAUUCCCUUUGGCUAGAUGAGUUUUCAGAGGUUCUAUGUACUGUGAUUCAACUUUUCCAAAUCACUUUUCCCUUCUCUAGAUUUUUGUCUGCACCUGUCCCAAAUGGGUCUUCAUUGCCAUAGCCACCUUCCUCCCAAAACUGGGAUGUUAGAUUUAUCAGACCACAGCUUCUUCCUACACUCUCUUUUCUGGUCCCACCUUUUAGGGACUGCUACUGUUUAAGUGUCAUGUUUCAUGGUUUCAUAUUUUUCACAAUGAAACCUGAAAUAAUAAAUUUUGUCCUAGGUCUGAAAUAAAAAUUAUAUUAGGAAAUUUCCUUCCCCAACCUGUCUUUGGAAACAAGAAACACAAGUGUUAUUAACCCAAGGUGAACAUCUUCUGGAAACAAAAAGAGUAGAAAAGACUGGAAAAUAUACAGAGACCAGCAGAGAUCAAACAUAACAAAGCACUGUAAUCAAUGGGUGGUAGGUUUUGCUGUAAAUACUAAAAUUGAGUUCCAUUACAGUACUUGAAAGAAUGGGCAAAUGUUAUUUAAUCAGUGUUAUCUAUUUAGGUUUUUAUAAGCUACAGCAUGACUUUCUGUACACCAUCAGGUUAAGAAUGAGAGCUUAAAUGGGACUGAGCUGGAAGCCGAAGAGGAUGAGAGCAAGGAAACAAGGAUAAAUUCAGGGUCAAGUUCAGUACUCAGUAAUAAGACAAAAUCGGUCCAGAGAGGCAAAGCAUGUCAUUGUGGCAGGCCCUGGUGGUAGCUGGGCUGGUUAGCCAGUAGUGUGGGUAGCAGGCCUAGGGAUGUGUUCAUGUAAGUUACUCACCCAGCAAAGGGGAUGGGAGCUGGAGUUAAAACCCAGCCAGAGCCUAGGUUUUAGUCAAACUUUGGUGCCUUCCAGAAUGCCUAGAGGAAGGGGGUGCCUUUUUCUAAUUGAUCAUCCCAGAAGGAGUACCCUUUUGCAAUGUAUGUGCCUGGAGGGGUGCCUUUCUUCAGAAAUGGCAGAGCUGCUGCAUAUACGGAUGGCACUGCAGGGGAAGCCCAGGGAGCCUCAUGGACAGUGGCCUGGCCUCCCUGAGGAGCAGAGGCCAGCAGCACGCAGCUAAAGAGCAGGCCAUGGUGGAUGGUCAGCAUGUCAGGAAUGCUGGAAGAGUCACCACCAGAUACUAGUCCUUGGGUAGAUCAUCAGGGACACAUCAUAUUCCAUUUAUGGAAACACCAAACCUUUGCUAGAUUAUCAAGGCAGGUAGUGGCACAUGGGCACUUGACAAGCAGGGACCCGUCAGGAGUCCAGAGUACAAAGGAGGGGAGAGGCACAGAUCCAGGUACCAUGGGACUUACCUUUGGGACUGUAUUUGUGGCUUCAUAGAGACCCACAUGCUCCUCUUCCAGUGAAUAUAUUAAUAAUUAAAUGGUAAGAGGAGAGUUAUAGAAGCCCAAGAGAAAUUCUGAAGUCACAGGAAGUGAAAAGGCCCAAGGUAAGGAAUUUGUGCAUGAGCUGUAGUGAAUGUCAAGAGUUAGCUCCUACAGCAGUUCUACCCCUGAACUUAAUAGUGGUAGGGUGACCAGCUUGUCUCAGUUUGCCUGGGACUUUGUUGGGUUUAGCCGUGAAAGUCCCAAAUCCCUGGGCCCCCUCAGUCUGGGCAAACUGAGAUAAUGGGUCGCCCUACAAGUGAGGACUCAUAAGUCAUUAGGUCAACUUCCUUCAUUACUGUACUCGGCCCCCAAAGUCGGAUGGAGCAGCAAGCUCCUUAGAGUGUAGGGAGUGACCGAGGCUCUUUGAAGUAGAUAAAGCAGGACCUUUGAGGUCUCCAUUCAGUUAACAGCAAAAAAUGCUCACUGAGAACACAAAGGCCUCCAGAACAGCACUGACAAAGACACAAAGACAGGCAAAAAGUGGACCUGGUCUUAACAUGAAAACCGGCAGAAGAAUACAAACCUUUAAUGCAAUCCUCAGUCAGCAAUUUAGAACAACAAAUCUACUUUCUAACAUGGACACUUUGUGGUUCUUCCUUUUAAAAAUAAAAUUUUAUGGCCGGGCACAGUGGCUCACACCUGUAAUCCCAGCACUUUGGGAGGCCGAGGCAGGUGGAUCACGAUGUCAGGAGUUCGAGACCAGCCUGGCCAACAUGGUGAAACCCUGUCUCUACUAAAAAUACAAAAAUUAGCUGGGCAUGGUGGUGGGCGCCUGUAAUCCCAGCUACUCGGGAGACUGAGGCAGGAGAAUCGUUUGAACCCUGGAGGCGGAAGUUGCAGUGAACCGAGAUCGUGCCAUUGCACUCCAGCCUGGGCGACAGAGCAAGACUCCAUCUCAAAAAAAA
This 4450-nucleotide small RNA is filed under the name Pongo abelii (Sumatran orangutan). RNAcentral describes it as "retained intron". The record is from RNAcentral. Lineage: Eukaryota; Metazoa; Chordata; Mammalia; Primates; Hominidae.